This 408-nucleotide ribosomal RNA is filed under the name uncultured bacterium. RNAcentral's name for it is "bacterial SSU rRNA". It matches the Rfam family "Bacterial small subunit ribosomal RNA", at positions 350 to 751 of the family's 1533-position model. The record is from RNAcentral.
AGCAGUGGGGAAUUUUGGACAAUGGGCGCAAGCCUGAUCCAGCAAUGCCGCGUGAGUGAAGAAGGCCUUCGGGUUGUAAAGCUCUUUUGUCAGGGAAGAAACGGUGAAGGCUAAUAUCCUUUGCUAAUGACGGUACCUGAAGAAUAAGCACCGGCUAACUACGUGCCAGCAGCCGCGGUAAUACGUAGGGUGCAAGCGUUAAUCGGAAUUACUGGGCGUAAAGCGUGCGCAGGCGGUUUUGUAAGUUUGUCGUGAAAGCCCCGGGCUCAACCUGGGAACUGCGAUGAAGACUGCAAGGCUUGAAUCUGGCAGAGGGGGGUAGAAUUCCACGUGUAGCAGUGAAAUGCGUAGAGAUGUGGAGGAACACCGAUGGCGAAGGCAGCCCCCUGGGUCAGAUUGACGCUCAUG